UGUGCCUACGGGACGCAGCAGUGAGGAAUAUUGGUCAAUGGGCGGGAGCCUGAACCAGCCAAGUCGCGUGAGGGAUGACGGCCCUACGGGUUGUAAACCUCUUUUGCCGGGGAGCAAAGAGCGGGACGCGUCCCGCCUCGAGAGUACCCGGAGAAAAAGCAUCGGCUAACUCCGUGCCAGCAGCCGCGGUAAUACGGAGGAUGCGAGCGUUAUCCGGAUUUAUUGGGUUUAAAGGGUGCGCAGGCGGAAGCGCAAGUCAGCGGUAAAAUUAAGAGGCUCAACCUCUUCCCGCCGUUGAAACUGCG
This 305-nucleotide ribosomal RNA is filed under the name uncultured bacterium. RNAcentral's name for it is "bacterial SSU rRNA". It matches the Rfam family "Bacterial small subunit ribosomal RNA", at positions 335 to 637 of the family's 1533-position model. The record is from RNAcentral.